UACGUAGGGACCGAGCGUUGUCCGGAUUUAUUGGGCGUAAAGAGCGUGUAGGCGGUCAGGUAGGUCGGUUGUGAAAACUGGAGGCUCAACCUUCAGAGGUCGACCGAAACCCCCUGGCUAGAGUCCGGGAGAGGAGAGUGGAAUUCCUGGUGUAGCGGUGAAAUGCGCAGAUAUCAGGAAGAACACCCGUGGCGAAAGCGGCUCUCUGGAACGGUACUGACGCUGAGACGCGAAAGCGUGGGGAGCGAACAGG
RNAcentral lists this ribosomal RNA (253 nucleotides) under uncultured bacterium. Its description in RNAcentral is "partial 16S ribosomal RNA". It matches the Rfam family "Bacterial small subunit ribosomal RNA", at positions 524 to 776 of the family's 1533-position model. The record is from RNAcentral.